RNAcentral lists this ribosomal RNA (900 nucleotides) under Microgenomates group bacterium GW2011_GWB1_40_9. Its description in RNAcentral is "bacterial SSU rRNA". It matches the Rfam family "Archaeal small subunit ribosomal RNA", at positions 1 to 923 of the family's 1478-position model. The record is from RNAcentral.
UCCAGUUGAUCCUGCUGGCGGCUGCGGCUAUUUGGUUUGCAAUUAGACAUGCAAGUCUGUUGAAAGACGGCGAACUGCUCAGUAACACGUAGCUAACCUGCCCUAAUGCUUGGGAUACCCUCGGGAAACUGAGAUUAAACCCGAAUAGGAAAUAAUUUCUGGAAUGAUUUAUUUCUCAAAGUUAGGAUGGGGCUGCGGCUGAUUAGCUUGUUGGCGGGGUAAUAGCCCACCAAGGCAUUUAUCAGUAAGGGCUCUUAGCGGAGAAGCCCUGAGAGGGAGUCUGAGACACUACUCCCAGCCCUACGGGGUGCAGCAGUUAGGAAAAUUCUGCAAUGUACGAAAGUAUGACAGAGCAAGCCAAAGUGAUUCUCUAAUAAUUGAGAAUCUUUUAUGCGAUGUAAAAAGUCGCAUGAAUAAGGACUGGGCAAGACUGGUGCCAGCCGCCGCGGUAAUCCCAGCGGUCCAAGUCGCAGCCACUUUUAUUGGGUCUAAAACAUCCGUAGCUUGCCUCGUCAGUCUUUUGUGAAAUCUGGCCUCUUAAGGGUCAGGCGAGCAAGAGAUACUGCGAGGCUAGAGAUCGGAAGACGUAAGAAGUACGCAUAGGGUAGCGGUCAAAUGUGUUGAUCCUUUGUGGACUAACGAUAGCGAAGGCAUCUUACGAGAACGAAUCUGACAGUGAGGGAUGAAGGCUAGGGGCGCAAAACGGAUUAGAUACCCGUGUAGUCCUAGCAGUAAACACUGCACACUAAACAUCGGUCCCUCCUCGAGAGGUAUCGGUGCUGUAGGGAAGCCGGAGAGUGUGCUACCUGGGAAGUAUAGUCGCAAGGCCGAAACUUAAAGGAAUAGGCGGCGGGAUACUACAACCAGUGACGCGUGCGGUGAAUAAAAUUGCCGCAGUAA